CGCCCUUUUAAACGGUAGUCCCGUGAGGCUGCAAAAGGGGGAAACACUGCGUGAAGCGAAUGAUUCGUCAUGUUGCUUCAUGCUGUGGAAACCUCUUUGCGCACUUGUGUAAAGAGGUUUUUUUA
This is a regulatory RNA element of 125 nucleotides. It matches the Rfam family "PyrR binding site". From Rfam's summary of the family: This family represents the PyrR binding site and terminator structure. This RNA structure is found upstream of a variety of genes involved in pyrimidine biosynthesis and transport. The record is from Rfam.